AGCAGCCGCGGUAAUUCCAGCUCCAAUAGCGUAUAUUAAAGUUGUUGCAGUUAAAAAGCUCGUAGUUGAAUUUCGGGGUCAGCAGGUCGGUCGUGCCACUGGUAUGUACUGGCCUUGCUGAUUCCUCCCUCUUGAUGAGCCGUAAUGCCAUUAAUUUGGUGUUGCGGGGAAUCAGGACUGUUACUUUGAAAAAAUUAGAGUGUUUAAAGCAGGCAUGCGCUUGAAUACAUUAGCAUGGAAUAAUGAAAUAGGACGUUCGAUCCUAUUUUGUUGGUUUCUAGGAUUGACGUAAUGAUUAAUAGGGAUAGUUGGGGGCAUUAGUAUUCAAUUGUCAGAGGUGAAAUUCUUGGAUUUAUUGAAGACUAACUACUGCGAAAGCAUUUGCCAAGGAUGUUUUCAUUAAUCAAGAACGAAAGUUAGGGGAUCGAAGACGAUCAGAUACCGUCGUAGUCUUAACCAUAAACUAUGCCGACUAGGGAUCGGAUGAUGUUAAUUUUUUAAUGACUCU
RNAcentral lists this ribosomal RNA (508 nucleotides) under uncultured Glomus. RNAcentral's name for it is "SSU rRNA". It matches the Rfam family "Eukaryotic small subunit ribosomal RNA", at positions 569 to 1078 of the family's 1831-position model. The record is from RNAcentral. Lineage: Eukaryota; Fungi; Glomeromycota; Glomeromycetes; Glomerales; Glomeraceae.